GUGCCGAACCCGGUUCUAUCCCACGAAUACUCCACGUCACGGUUUAUCAAAUACAUUUCCCCCUUCAGCUUCAAUCUCCCUCUUCUCCCUCUAUCUCAGUCGAUGCAUACCCUUCUCACUCGUUCUCCCUCAGUCUAAACUCGACGCAUCUCCCUCAACCUCUCACCACCCACAUUCUCUCUCAGACCUCUCAACUCUCCCUCUUCUCCCUCUCGAACCUCAGAGUGAACUCUCACACUCAUUCUUUCUCACCCCAAUCAGUCCCAAACCCUAGAAAAAUUCAGCAACCCGAAGCCAUUCUCUCUCUCGCCCCUUUAAACCAUGCAAGCUUAACGUUUUAAGACCUAAUUUCUUUCAUUUUCAAUAAUAAAAAGGUUCAAAGAGGUGAUGGUCUGAAUCAUCCAUAUUGUCAUUAAGGGCACAAUAAGAAUUAGACUUUGUUGUCAGCUUUCCAAUCUUGGCUUAUGAGGCAAGGCCAAUAUGGGAAGGUGGGAAGUAUGAUGGUGAUGAAAGCAACCUCAUCAAAAUGAAAUAAAUUGGCAAUCUUGUGGUGAGAAUACAGGCUACUGGAGCCGACAUAGUAAAGGUUGCAACAACUGCUGUAGACAUCACAGACUCUGCACGUAUAUUUCAAAUUCUAGUGCAUUCUCAAGUCCCCAUACUGACUGCAGGGGCCCAGCAUGCAUUCCUUAUGGCAUUUCAGCACAUGCAGGAACCAAUGUACAUGCAGGACAAGCCUUUUGCCUCUCAGUGUUUGCCUCUCGGUCAUUUGAUAAUUGGAUUUACGUAUUGUGACUAUCUCAAGAAACUACUAGCUGAGGGCGUUCAUGAAGAUUUUCUGAUUAAUGGUGGGAUCAAUGAACUUCUCCUUGAACUUCAAUCUGAAGCUUAGAGUAUUUUGGAGUAGAAGUUGCAGAAGGCAUAUGCCGAGUGGUUCCAGGCCUCGAAUUAUUCAAGCCAGCACAACCAAGUUAUUGGACGUAGCUUGUAUGCGUUGGUUCCAUACCUCUCAGUAGCUUGUAUGAGAAACAAUAUGUGUUGGUUCCGAGCUUGUAUGCGUGGACCCCACAGGAUUAUGUAAUUUGUGCCUUUUUGCUUAUCUGCUCUUGUUUAGCUGAGGACAGAUGGAGUAAAAAAUAUGAGAAACAAUAUGUGCCAACUGAUUUAUAAACACCAUGGUUGAGAAGUUGCAUUUG
This is an RNA transcript of Juglans regia (Persian walnut), 1196 nucleotides long. RefSeq lists it as uncharacterized. Lineage: Eukaryota; Viridiplantae; Streptophyta; Magnoliopsida; Fagales; Juglandaceae. The record is from RefSeq and is a predicted model, not a curated record. The transcript is spliced from 5 exons.